UGUACCCCACUAUACCUAGCCGUAAACCUCGAUGGACCUAACACACCCCCCAUCCGCCAGAGAACUACGAGUGAAAAGCUUAAAACUCUAAGGACUUGACGGUGCCCCACAUCAACCUAGAGGAGCCUGUCCUAUAAUCGAUACUCCACGUUAAACCUCCCCCCCCCUUGUAUAAAACCAGCCUAUAUACCGCCGUCGCCAGCUUGCCUAGUGAUAGACAUAAAGCAGGCAAAAUAGUACAACCACUAGCACGUCAGGUCAAGGUGUAGCUCAUGAGGCGGACUAGCGAUGGGCUACAUUUUCUAAACACCAGAAAACACUUCAGGCACUAUGAAACACAAGCCGUUCGGUGGAUUUAGUAGUAAAUCUAGACAAGAAUUGCCUAAUUGAAACACGCCCUGGGGCGCGUACACACCGCG
RNAcentral lists this ribosomal RNA (419 nucleotides) under Phyllodactylus pachamama. RNAcentral describes it as "partial 12S ribosomal RNA". It matches the Rfam family "Bacterial small subunit ribosomal RNA", at positions 781 to 1394 of the family's 1533-position model. The record is from RNAcentral. Lineage: Eukaryota; Metazoa; Chordata; Lepidosauria; Squamata; Phyllodactylidae.